Molecule: long non-coding RNA, 373 nt
Organism: Macrobrachium nipponense
Lineage: Eukaryota; Metazoa; Arthropoda; Malacostraca; Decapoda; Palaemonidae
Exons: 3
Source: RefSeq, a predicted model, not a curated record
UGCAGAAGAGUGACCCAGCCAGCAGAGAAGAGAGGAUAACUACAGCUUGUAGUAUCAAGACAUCGGGGUUGUCCUUUGACAGGUUCUCGUCUCUAAACCAAUGUGCGAGCACUGGUUCUUAUAGCCUGAGGAUCUGUACCUACCUAAUUAGUUUUACCAAGGAAUUACGAUACUAGAAAACUUCUCUCUACGUCGAAUCUUUACGAAUUGUACCAAGAACACAAGGAUUUAACUCCCUGACAGCAGAAGAAGUGCUUGAGACUCAGAACUUGAUAUAAACAAGGUGACUCCUUGUUGCCUGCAUCAGUAAUCUUGAACAAGAGUCAACUAUAAACUUAGGACAAUGUCACAUCAAAGCUGGGAUACGAGGAAU